GUUGUUUCUUGGACACUGUCUGCAAAUUUUCCUUGUGGAUUUUGUCUGAAGUGGAAAAUAAAAUUACCUAUAGUUGUUGAAGCUCAUUUUCUGCAUAGCACCUGAAAAAACCUGCCGCCAUUAAACCCUUAGAAUAGAAAACCUAUUUUUAUAUAAAAAAUUACCCUUUGAUUUGAGAAUCAGUGGAAAUAAUUCAUAAGUUU
This 203-nucleotide long non-coding RNA is filed under the name Nicotiana benthamiana. Its description in RNAcentral is "long non-coding RNA (NBEN_LNC000814)". The record is from RNAcentral. Lineage: Eukaryota; Viridiplantae; Streptophyta; Magnoliopsida; Solanales; Solanaceae.